Molecule: unclassified non-coding RNA, 353 nt
Filed under: soil metagenome
Description: partial contains 5.8S ribosomal RNA, internal transcribed spacer 2, and large subunit ribosomal RNA
Rfam family: 5.8S ribosomal RNA (bases 1-120)
Source: RNAcentral
GAUGAAGAACGUAGCGAAAUUCGAUAAGUAAUGUGAAUUGCAGAAUUCCGUGAAUCAUCGAAUCUUUGAACGCACAUUGCGCCCCCUGGCAUUCCGGGGGGCAUGCCUGUCCGAGCGUCAUUUCUGCCCUCCAGCCCGGCUGGGUGUUGGGCGCUGUCCCCCCGGGGACACGCCCCAAAGGCAGUGGCGGCGCCGCGUCGGGUCCUCGAGCGUAUGGGGCUUUGUCACCCGCUCGGGACGGACUCGUCGGCGCUGGUCUUCCUCCAGGCGACCCUUCGGGGCUCGUCUUCCUUCGGUUGACCUCGGAUCAGGUAGGGUUACCCGCUGAACUUAAGCAUAUCAAAAGCGGAGGA